Molecule: non-coding RNA, 30 nt
Filed under: Rattus norvegicus (Norway rat)
Lineage: Eukaryota; Metazoa; Chordata; Mammalia; Rodentia; Muridae
Source: RNAcentral
UGCCUUAGACAUUCUUUUUAAAGUAUGAAA